Molecule: ribosomal RNA, 460 nt
Filed under: uncultured bacterium
Lineage: Bacteria
Description: partial 16S ribosomal RNA
Rfam family: Bacterial small subunit ribosomal RNA
Source: RNAcentral
CCUACGGGAGGCUGCAGUGAGGAAUAUUGGUCAAUGGACGAGAGUCUGAACCAGCCAAGUAGCGUGAAGGAUGACUGCCCUAUGGGUUGUAAACUUCUUUUAUAAAGGAAUAAAACGAGGCACGUGUGCCUUUUUGCAUGUACUUUAUGAAUAAGGAUCGGCUAACUCCGUGCCAGCAGCCGCGGUAAUACGGAGGAUCCGAGCGUUAUCCGGAUUUAUUGGGUUUAAAUGGAGCGUAGAUGGGUUGUUAAGUCAGUUGUGAAAGUUUGCGGCUCAACCGUAAAAUUGCAAUUGAUACUGGCAGUCGUGAGUACAGUUGAGGUAGGCGGAAUUCGUGGUGUAGCGGUGAAAUGCUUAGAUAUCAUGAAGAACCCCGAUUGCGAAGGCAGCUUACUAAACUGUGACUGACAUUGAUGCUCGAAAGUGUGGGUAUCAAACAGGAUUAGAUACCCUUGUAGUC